This 573-nucleotide ribosomal RNA is filed under the name Tricholomopsis rutilans. RNAcentral describes it as "eukaryotic LSU rRNA". The stretch from base 199 to 352 matches the Rfam family "5.8S ribosomal RNA". Lineage: Eukaryota; Fungi; Basidiomycota; Agaricomycetes; Agaricales. The record is from RNAcentral.
UAAAAGUCGUAACAAGGUUUCCGUAGGUGAACCUGCGGAAGGAUCAUUAAUGAAUUGCUGGGAGGUUGUUGCUGGCUCCUUUGGGGGCAUGUGCACACCUUUUACCUUUCUUUCCACCUGUGCACCGUUUGUAGGCAGAGCCUAUGAUUUUACAUACUCGAUAACAUAUGUGUAUUGGUUGGCUCUUAAUAUAAAUACAACUUUCAACAAUGGAUCUCUUGGUUCUCGCAUCGAUGAAGAACGCAGCGAAAUGCGAUAAGUAAUGUGAAUUGCAGAUCUCAGUGAAUCAUCGAAUCUUUGAACGCACCUUGCGCCCUUUGGUAUUCCAAAGGGCAUGCCUGUUUGAGUGUCAUUAAAUUCUCAAAGUUUAUGUUUUUAAGCUUUGGAUUUGAAGAUUGCUGGCUUACUCCAGAGUCAGCUUCUUUGAAAUGCAUUAGUAGGAUCAUCAUGCUGGAUCGAUACAGGUGUGAUAAGUUAUCACCAUCUGAGAUUAGGCAAGAACUUGCUCAUAACUCUUUCUUUGAUCUUUGACCUCAAAUCAGGUAAGACUACCCGCUGAACUUAAGCAUAUCA